UUAGCUAUUUUUUGCUCCCACUCCCUUAUUUUCGUUCCACCCAUCCUAGUAAACCCUAAGUAUUUAUACCACUUUUUCAUUUAUUUUUCAAUUUUUUCCUCAAUUUAUCCAUUGCUCUUGUCACCCCAUCCUUCUUCCUCCUCUUUCUUUCAAAACUUUUCUUCUUUCUUUAAUGAUUUCAGCAUAGUUGUCCCGCCCCCUUUGCUAAAGUUUUUCUAUUUUCUUCCAGCCACCAUGUUGGUCAUUUAACCUCUUAAACCAUACCCUUUUCU
RNAcentral lists this long non-coding RNA (272 nucleotides) under Gossypium raimondii (Peruvian cotton). RNAcentral's name for it is "long non-coding RNA (GRAI_LNC010657)". Lineage: Eukaryota; Viridiplantae; Streptophyta; Magnoliopsida; Malvales; Malvaceae. The record is from RNAcentral.